Molecule: ribosomal RNA, 775 nt
Filed under: uncultured Neocallimastigales
Lineage: Eukaryota; Fungi; Neocallimastigomycota; Neocallimastigomycetes; Neocallimastigales
Description: partial large subunit ribosomal RNA
Rfam family: Eukaryotic large subunit ribosomal RNA
Source: RNAcentral
GUACACGCUGUGACUAGCAUAUCAAUAAGCGGAGGAAAAGAAACUAACAAGGAUUCCCCUAGUAACGGCGAGUGAAGCGGGAAGAGCUCAAAUUUGAAAUCUUAAAGGGUUUCCCUUUACGAAUUGUAGUUUAAAGAAGUGUUUUCUGUUGAGGUUUUGGUAAAAGUUCUUUGGAAUAGGACAUCAUAGAGGGUGAGAAAUCCCGUAUUUGACCUUUACUUUCAACUUUGUGAUACACUUUCAAAGAGUCGGAUUGUUUGGGAAUGCAGUCCAAAAUGGGUGGUAAAUUUCAUCUAAAGCUAAAUAUUGGCGAGAGACCGAUAGCGAACAAGUACCGUGAGGGAAAGAUGAAAAGAACUUUGAAAAGAGAGUUAAACAGUACGUGAAAUUGUCAAAAGGGAAGCGUUUGACACCAGUGUUGUUUUUCUGAAAAUCAAUUAAAGAACUGUUUAUGCUAAGUUGUUUAGACUUUAUCAGCUAACUGUUUAGUUUUGAGCUUUUCUUUAAUGCACUUUUCAGUUAACAAGUCAACAUCAAUUUCUUUUGCUGUAAAAAAGCUUGAGGAAGGUGGCUUGAGAUUCGUCUUAAGUGUUUAUAGCCUCUUGCCUAUGCAGUCGGAGAGAUUGAGGUCUGCAGCGUAGAUCCUUCGGGGCUAAAUGCAUUUGUGCUAAGUUAUAGCAUUUUAUAGACAACUUGUUGACUAUGAUUUGUCUUGUAGCUUACUCGCUUAUGUUAUUUUACCUACGCUUAGGAUGUUGAAGAUGUAGCACAUCAU